RNAcentral lists this ribosomal RNA (263 nucleotides) under uncultured Staphylococcus sp. Its description in RNAcentral is "partial 16S ribosomal RNA". It matches the Rfam family "Bacterial small subunit ribosomal RNA", at positions 99 to 354 of the family's 1533-position model. The record is from RNAcentral. Lineage: Bacteria; Bacillati; Bacillota; Bacilli; Caryophanales; Staphylococcaceae.
CGGACGGGUGAGUAACACGUGGAUAACCUACCUAUAAGACUGGGAUAACUUCGGGAAACCGGAGCUAAUACCGGAUAAUAUAUUGAACCGCAUGGUUCAAUGGUGAAAGACGGUUUUGCUGUCACUUAUAGAUGGAUCCGCGCCGCAUUAGCUAGUUGGUAAGGUGACGGCUUACCAAGGCAACGAUGCGUAGCCGACCUGAGAGGGUGAUCGGCCACACUGGAACUGAGACACGGUCCAGACUCCUACGGGAGGCAGCAGGG